UUUGUUUGUCUGUCUAGCCUACUAUAGAGGCCUCUGGCACAUCUAUGGACUCACUAGGGUAGGUGGUGCACUACAUGGGGGGCAAGGUUUUUGCUAGCACUGCACUCUGGCCCAGUGGGUGGAGCUCGAUAGUAAUCUUUGCUGCAAGU
Molecule: small nucleolar RNA, 149 nt
Filed under: Octodon degus (degu)
Lineage: Eukaryota; Metazoa; Chordata; Mammalia; Rodentia; Octodontidae
Source: RNAcentral